CUCAGGGGAAGCCAGCUGCCAUGUCAUGAGAAAACUUAAGCAGCCCUGUGGGGAGGUCCAUGUGGUGAGGAACUGAGGCCUCCAGUCAGCAGCCAUGGGAGGGAGCCACAUAUGAAGUAGAGUCUCCAGCCCCAGUCAAGCCUUCAGAUGACUGCAGCCCACUUGACAGCUUCACGGUAGCCUUAUGGAAGAGCCUGAGCCAUAACCACCCAGCUAAGCUGCUCCUGCAUUCCCUUGAAAACCAUAAAGGAAAGCAAAGAGAUGUAAGAUGGACAAGUUCAGAGGUUGGGAAUGACAGGCAGAAGUGAGAAUCUCUGCGUGGAUUCUGCUCCUGCCACUGAGAAGGACUGAGGGAGGCGAACAGCACAUGGAAAAACAGGCCAAGACUUCAUGGAAUGUGGAACAUCCCACAACAGGGACCUGGUGCAGCUGAACACAGGAGUUCAGCCCUAGAGGUCUAGUUUACUAUUUAUAACUAUUGAGUCUUCAUUUUUGUUUGUUCAUUUGUUUUCAUGGGAUUAAGCUUGGUAAAGUCAUGUAAACGACAAGAGGCAGACUUUUCUUCUAUUUGGCUAGGAAAUUACAGCAGUUCAGCUGUUUCCUCUCUUUGUUCUUAUGACUCUUGCUUGAUUUAUUAAAGUUGCAGAGUCAAAAGAAUAAUAGAUUUUAAUACACAUCAGGCUGAAUCUUACUAUUUUUGCUAUAGAGGCCAUGCUGUAAAAAAGCCUUGUUAAAUUUGUUUCUCAGCACUAUUUGUAUGCCAUAACUGUUUUUCUAACCUAAAUAAACUUGGUUGCGAUUAUCAAAUACAUUUUAUUUUUAAAUGUUCAUUACAAGCACUGUUGUUCAUAACAAACUAAUGACUAAUGACUCUAGUUAUUUUUUUUCCAAAGGGAACACAGAUUUCAAUGACAUUCACUUUUUU
Molecule: long non-coding RNA, 925 nt
Filed under: Homo sapiens (human)
Lineage: Eukaryota; Metazoa; Chordata; Mammalia; Primates; Hominidae
Description: HSALNT0322549
Source: RNAcentral